GAAACAUGAUGUGAUUUCUUUGGACUCAGGAAGUUCUCAGAAGGAGCUGGGCUCAGCUAAUGCCAAAUGUCAAAUUCAAUAUUGAAGUAGCAGAACUCAAAACCACUAAGAGACCUGGUCCAGAAAUCAAACAAGUGAAUCAAAUUAAAAGAAACAAUCUAGGAGACCAAAUCAAAAACACGUCUCGGCUACACUGCUGUGCAGUUUAGUGUUUGAACUCGUUUAGAGGGAUCAAGAUGGGUUGCGGAGAGCUGGAGCCUAACCCGGCAGACACCGGGCGCAAGGCAAGGCAAGGCAGGGCAAGGCAGGACUACACCCCUCUGCCUCACCUUUGCCUGGAUGGUGGUCCAGUAAUUUAGCCUUCUGCAUGAUCAGCGCACGCACCAAGUGUAUCAGAUCCCAAAGUGUGUCCAGCCCCCUGCCGGUGAGAUGAGAUGAAAUUCACGAAUGUACACGAGCCUGGCUUUUUUUUUUUUUUUUUUUUUUUUUACAUUGUAAAUUGCGACUCGCGGUGUGCGGGCAGCCCCCAUCCUGUUACACUUGCAUACUUGAUCGGUAGGUUUGGCGUUCGUAACUCUGAGGUUCUGCUGAACGUCACUUUAUAAGGCCCACAGCUCUUAAUCGUUGUGUUUUUAUCAAAGACCUACAGAGCUCCCUAGGUUAGGAGUGAAAUUGUGUCUGGUGCAUAGGAAGGAGUCUCGGAUGUCUUUAAGCAAAUCGGUCACUAAUGAAAUUUUCACCAACCGUUUGACUUUUCUCUUUACAGCUAUUCGUUUUUUUUUUUUGGUUGUUUUUUUUUUUAUAGAAGGUGUUUUUAAUUAAAACCAUUGUUUUGGUUGUGUCUGGCUGCAGGCGUGCGCAGGUUAAAUUCAAUGGGGUUUCCACUCCAAGAAACACCCCCGAAACAAAAAUACAGCUUUCUUUCAAAAUCCGACACUUCAUUUCUGCUAAUGUCAAAACUAAUUAACACUGUUGCGCAUGCAUUUGUUCCCUGUAAUGGCUUUUGCAGUUGCUCGCCCUGCUCACGGUGUGAGACGUUUGCAAUGAUUAAUGGUUAUACCCAAGUCAAUAAAAGCCACCUCGCUGUAGUUCAAAUACCAAGCGUAAGGAAUUUUGUAAUGGUUUUUGUGUUAGAACGGAUUAUUCUUUUAUAUGAUGUUAUUUGCUGUUACAAUUUGAACAAAAAAGGAAAUGUGAUAGUCCAUACUCAUAUUGUUUGAAUAUUUGGAAUAUAUGAUACUUUCAAUGGAGAGAUAUUGAGCACAUGGCUUGGGCGGGGUAUUUUGGAAUACAAUGUGUGCCUGAAUACAUUGCAGGUUGACUAAACAGAGGGCAAAUCUGACCAUUUAUGGAGAUUUGUGAAGAGGGUUCUGCUUGGUUGCAUGGGGGGGAUGAGAGAAUCUCGAAGAUAACAAGAUGCAAAUGAAUGUUUUUAAGGCUUGAAGACUUCCCACGUACAGGUAUAAUGAGGAUGGGGGUCAUAAAUGACAUCAUUAAAAGGGUGUGUUUUGAAAUCUACAAAACUAAAGUGAAAACAUUGUUCGGGGCUCAGUUCUAUCAAUCUCACUGCAACCCAGAGUGACA
Polyodon spathula (Mississippi paddlefish) is the source of this 1584-nucleotide long non-coding RNA. RefSeq lists it as uncharacterized. The transcript is spliced from 3 exons. The record is from RefSeq and is a predicted model, not a curated record. Lineage: Eukaryota; Metazoa; Chordata; Actinopteri; Acipenseriformes; Polyodontidae.